Carcharodon carcharias (great white shark) is the source of this 566-nucleotide long non-coding RNA. RefSeq lists it as uncharacterized. NCBI's taxonomy places the organism in Eukaryota, Metazoa, Chordata, Chondrichthyes, Lamniformes, Lamnidae. The transcript has 2 exons. The record is from RefSeq and is a predicted model, not a curated record.
CACCAAACCCUAUUCAAACAAAAUGGACGCAGAGCCAGAAAAGAAGAGAUUUUAGGAAGGACAAGCAAAGGUUGCAUCAAAGAGAGUCAGAAAUGUACUUUUAAGGACUCCUUACCAAGUAGGAGAGAGAGAACAAAAGACAAUGCUGUACUGAACACAUGGUGUAUGAGGCUGUGUGCCCUGUCUACCUAACACUGUUGGAAGUGGUGCCCGGAUUUUCAAAGUAACCAUCCUGAGAAGAAAAAUCUACUGUGAACUGAGACCUUUUGGGAAUAAAACAUGGAAAUCUGCUCCAUACAACUUCAGCUGGGAAGACAACUGAACAAAACAGCCGCAACGUGGAAUCACCGCACUGAGACCAGCUAACCGUGUACUCCUCUGUUUUAGUUUUCAUGAACUGCAAAAAUCUGAGAAGCCAAUCCUCUUAUUCUGCCAUUGGUACUGGUGUGUGUGUGAGCCCAGACGAAUGCGUGCGGUGUAUGAAUGGUGGUUGCGAUUUGCCUAGAAUUUUUUUUUAGUUUGGUAGGUAGUUUCAAUAAACUUAUCUUGUUCUUUGUUUAACCUAA